RNAcentral lists this ribosomal RNA (495 nucleotides) under uncultured bacterium. RNAcentral describes it as "partial 16S ribosomal RNA". It matches the Rfam family "Bacterial small subunit ribosomal RNA", at positions 28 to 507 of the family's 1533-position model. The record is from RNAcentral.
GACGAACGCUGGCGGCGUGCCUAAUACAUGCAAGUAGAACGCUGAAGGAGGAGCUUGCUUCUCUGGAUGAGUUGCGAACGGGUGAGUAACGCGUAGGUAACCUGCCUGGUAGCGGGGGAUAACUAUUGGAAACGAUAGCUAAUACCGCAUAAUAGUAGAUGUUGCAUGACAUUUGCUUAAAAGGUGCAAUUGCAUCACUACCAGAUGGACCUGCGUUGUAUUAGCUAGUUGGUGAGGUAACGGCUCACCAAGGCAACGAUGCAUAGCCGACCUGAGAGGGUGAUCGGCCACACUGGGACUGAGACACGGCCCAGACUCCUACGGGAGGCAGCAGUAGGGAAUCUUCGGCAAUGGGCGGAAGUCUGACCGAGCAACGCCGCGUGAGUGAAGAAGGUUUUCGGAUCGUAAAGCUCUGUUGUAAGAGAAGAACGAGUGUGAGAGUGGAAAGUUCACACUGUGACGGUAUCUUACCAGAAAGGGACGGCUAACUACGUG